UCNGGCUUUUUCAAUGAGAAGUAAAAAGAGAAAGACAUUCCACCAACUUCCAUCAAAUCAUUUCUUCAUUCAUCAACUAAAUAAAAAAAAUGAAAAGAAAAGGACAAGCUACUAUACUACUUAAUUGUUGCAGCAGUGCAUAAUAAAAGAAAAGAGAAGAAAAAAAACUUCAUUCAACCAAUGCCAUCUUCCGUCAACAACAUUUCCAAGCUCCUAGAAAUANUGUUCCAGCCCCCACCUAAUAAAAAACGCUGCAGCCCCCUUCAAUUCUCCAAUUGCNGANAGCUCUCCCAAGUAAACGUUCCUCANCUGGCCAAAAAAAACAUUGCCGAGAGAAAGUGCAUCCUUGCAGCCCAAAANUGUGUGACGGNUGUUGCUAUUCUAAGGGGCCAUGUGUCCCUCCAAAUAANGGUGGNGUCNACCCUAAAAUAAAAGGGAACCCUAGGCCUAGUGUNCUACAAUAUUGGGCCUAGUCUACUCNACCAAAAUUAGCCCAAAUUACAAACAUUUGUCCAAAAAGUUUAAACAAUAAAAUUAUAAUAUAACUAAAAUUUAAAAUGUCUAAUAUGAGAGUCUUGAAUUUAUUUGGUGUCCUCCAAAUGUCCCA
RNAcentral lists this long non-coding RNA (607 nucleotides) under Vigna radiata. RNAcentral describes it as "long non-coding RNA (VRAD_LNC008227)". The record is from RNAcentral. Lineage: Eukaryota; Viridiplantae; Streptophyta; Magnoliopsida; Fabales; Fabaceae.